Molecule: unclassified non-coding RNA, 704 nt
Filed under: Hevea brasiliensis (rubber tree)
Lineage: Eukaryota; Viridiplantae; Streptophyta; Magnoliopsida; Malpighiales; Euphorbiaceae
Source: RNAcentral
GUUGAAUUGAAUUAAAUUGCAAAGACACAACAGAAUUCUUCAGAAUUAUUUACUAAAUAAUUUACACAUCUGUUUGUAAUCUCACCAGUUGAAUUGGCUGAAGUAUGCAAUAAGCAUCUGGCUAGUUCAAUUACAAAUACAGAACAAUACAGCCUGUCUACUAUGAACACACGUACUAACUACUGGAUAUAUAUUGUUUGAACAAAAUGAUGAUCACAAUUUACGUGCUUAGAAGCUUUCACUCGUUCUCCGGAGGCCAAAGAAAGGCACCCAUGGCAAAAUUUCUCUUCCGAUCAACAUCCCCCACGAUGGGUAGUCCAUACUCUUUGAGCAAGCAGUCCAACUUCCAUUCAGCCAUGGCCUCGUAGUCACUUUUCUUGAAUCUUGGAUAGUGCAGUGGCAUCUGGAAGCAGGAGUACUUGUCCCUCUUGCUUUCUUCAUGAUGGUACGCAUUAGGCCUCAAAUCUGGCAUAGCGUAGGCAUUGUUGGAGCAAGCAGUUCCACUCAUCUUCACCUCUACCGAUGAUCUUUGAGCACAAAUCAUGACUGGCUAGUUUUCCUUUUAUAGACAACCUGGACUAGAGAGCAAGGAAACUAGAAGACUGGAGUGUGUAUUAGAACAAGACAAAGGCUAAGAGUUGAGUGCCAUUGUAUCUUGCAAUGGAGGCUAUCUGUCAUAAUCCAAAUUAAAUGCCCUAAGAAUU